This 378-nucleotide unclassified non-coding RNA is filed under the name plant metagenome. RNAcentral describes it as "partial contains 5.8S ribosomal RNA, internal transcribed spacer 2, and large subunit ribosomal RNA". The stretch from base 1 to 105 matches the Rfam family "5.8S ribosomal RNA", at positions 50 to 154 of the family's 154-position model. The record is from RNAcentral.
GAAAUGCGAUAAGUAAUGUGAAUUGCAGAAUUCAGUGAAUCAUCGAAUCUUUGAACGCACAUUGCGCCCGCCAGCAUUCUGGCGGGCAUGCCUGUUUGAGUAUCAUGAAAUCUUCAAAGUAAAUCUUUUGUUAACUCAAUUGGUUUCUACUUUGGUAUUGGAGGUCUUUGCAGCUUCACACCUGCUCCUCUUUGUUCAUUAGCUGGAUCUCAGUGUUAUGCUUGGUUCCACUCGGCGUGAUAAGUUAUCUAUCGCUGAGGACACUGUAAAAGGUGGCCAAGGUAAAUGCAGAUGAACCGCUUCUAAUAGUCCAUUGACUUGGACAAUACUUUUAUGAUCUGAUCUCAAAUCAGGUAGGACUACCCGCUGAACUUAAGC